This 57-nucleotide transfer RNA is filed under the name Morus notabilis. It matches the Rfam family "tRNA", at positions 8 to 63 of the family's 71-position model. From Rfam's summary of the family: Transfer RNA (tRNA) molecules are approximately 80 nucleotides in length. Their secondary structure includes four short double-helical elements and three loops (D, anti-codon, and T loops). Further hydrogen bonds mediate the characteristic L-shaped molecular structure. tRNAs have two regions of fundamental functional importance: the anti-codon, which is responsible for specific mRNA codon recognition, and the 3' end, to which the tRNAs corresponding amino acid is attached (by aminoacyl-tRNA synthetases). tRNAs cope with the degeneracy of the genetic code in two manners: having more than one tRNA (with a specific anti-codon) for a particular amino acid; and 'wobble' base-pairing, i.e. permitting non-standard base-pairing at the 3rd anti-codon position. Lineage: Eukaryota; Viridiplantae; Streptophyta; Magnoliopsida; Rosales; Moraceae. The record is from Rfam by way of RNAcentral.
UAGCUUAGUGGUAGAGCGGUCGGCUGUUAAAUAACUGAUUGUAGGUUCGGAUCCUAC